Zalophus californianus (California sea lion) is the source of this 1008-nucleotide RNA transcript. It is a transcript of the gene named lupus La protein homolog, with no coding region annotated. Lineage: Eukaryota; Metazoa; Chordata; Mammalia; Carnivora; Otariidae. The transcript has a single exon. The record is from RefSeq and is a predicted model, not a curated record.
AUGAAUGUUAAGAAUGAUGUAAAAAACAGAUCUGUUUAUAUUAAAGGCUUCCCAACUAAUGCAACCCUUGAUGACAUAAAAGAAUGGUUAGAAGAUAAAGGUCAAGUACUAAAUAUUCAGAUGAGAAGAACAUUACACAAAGCAUUUAAGGGAUCAAUAUUUGCUGUGUUUGAUAGUAUUGAAUCUGCUAAGAAAUUUGUUGCCACCCCUGGCCAGAAGUAUAAAGAUACAGACCUGCUAAUACUUUUCAAGGAAGAUUACUUUGCCAAAAAAAAAAAAAAAAAAAAUGAAGAAAGAAAGCAAAAUAAAGUGGAAGCUAAAUUAUGAGCUAAACAAGAGCAAGAAGAAAAACAAAAAUUAGCAGAAAAUGCUGAAAUGAAAUCUCUGGAAGAAAAGAUUGGCUGCUUGCUGAAAUUUUCAGGAGACUUAGAUGAUCAGACCUGUAGGGAAGAUUUGCACAUCCUUUUCUCAAGUCGUGGUGAAAUAAAAUGGAUAGACUUUUCAGAGGAGCAAAAGAGGGAUAAUUCUUUUUAAAGAAAAAGCUAAGGAAGCACUGGAUAAAGCCAAAGAUGCAAAUAGUGGUAACCUACAAUUAAGGAACAAAGAAGCGACCUGGGAAGUACUAGAAGGAGAUGUGGAAAAGGAAGCACUGAAAAAAAUCACAGAAGAUCAACAAGAAUCUCUAAACAAAUGGAAAUCAAAAGGUGGCAGAUUUAAAGGAAAAGGAAAAGGAAAUAAAGCUGCCCAGACUGGGUCUGCUAAAGGAAAAGUACAGUUUCAGGGCAAGAAAACUAAAUUUGAUAGUGAUGAGGAACAUGAUCAAAAUGGUGCAUCUGGACCAGUAAAAAGAGCAAGAGAAGAACAAGACAAAGAAGAAGAACCUACACGAAAACAACAGAAAACAGAAAAUGGUGCUGGAGACCAGUAGUUUAGUGAAAAAAUUUUUUUAUUUAUCUGAAUUAGGUUUUAAGCUGCUUUUGUCUUUAGAGGCUUUUAAAAAGAAAACCG